UUAGGGAUAAUGCUUGUUUGUUUUCCUUCCAUUAAGGCAUGAUGGGCUCAUGUUACUGUUACCCCGGAGGCUAGCAAGACAGCUGUGUUUAGCAGUGGAACUUCAAAGGCGUUUAAAGGGUGGAUUCCUGUUGGUGGUCAUUGACUUCCAAGUUCAGGGGUAGGGGCUCGACUUGAAUGGUAGAAAGCUCAGAAGAAUCCAGCAAAAAAUAAUACUUCUGAGGUAAUAAAUAAAAUUAUGCCGUAUCGUAGUCCUUUUAUGUACUGGCAUUGUAUGGUGUCCUUAAUAUGUACCCUCACGGACAACAUCUCGUCACCAUUGCUGUAUUGUUAAAAGUAUAAUAAUAAGGCCAAGGAAAAUUAGGUUUACAUUAUUGAAGUGAAAUCAUGCUGCAAGGCCUGAUGUUAAUAAUAGAGCUGCGAUGGCUCCUGUUAGGGGUCAUGGGCUAGGGUCAACUAUGUGGAAGGGGUGUGCUUGGUGAGUCAUUAGAUGUUUUCUUGUAAAUAAAGGGUUAGAAGUAGCACGAAGACAUAUGCUUGAAUUAAGGCGACAGCUAUUUCUAAGCAGGUUAAUAUAAUUAGGACAAUAAGAGUUAUUGAUGCAGUUAAAGUUAUAGUGUUAAUAAGGGCUAAUACUGCUGUUGAAGUAAGCUGAAUUAAUAAAUGUCCGGCUGUUAAGUUAGCUGUUAAGCGUACGCCUAAUGCAAUUGGACGAAUAAGUAAGCUAACAGUUUCGAUUAUUACUAAUAUAGGAAUUAAUAGCAUUGGUGUGCCUUCUGGGAGAAGGUGGCCUAGUGAAGCUGUUGGUUGAUUUCGUAGGCCAAUUAAGACUGUUAUUAGUCUUUAUUAAUGGCGAGAGCUAUAUUUAUUGAAAGUUGAGUGGUUGGGGUAAAUGUAUAAGGUAAUAGUCCUAGGGUAUUAAAUAGUGUUAGUAUUAGUAAAAGUGCUAUAAAAGUACUUGCUCAUUUAUGUCCUGCAAUAUUAAUAGGUAAUAUUAUUUGUUUUGUAGCAUUAAUAAUGAGUGAGGAUUGAAUGAUUGAGUAGCAGUUUUGGAUAAGGCGGUUGGUUGAAAAUCAGAUAGUUAAUGGAAAGAAUAAAGCUGGAAUAAUUAGGGGAACUCCUAGCAUAUUGGGAAUUGCAAAUUGGUCAAAAAAACUUAGGGCCAUGGUCAGGUUCAGUAGUAGUUGUUGGGUUGAUUUUUAUAUUGUGGGGUUGAAAGGUAGGAAUUGGUAUUAAUGAUUUUUGUAAAAAAUAUAAUGAGGGUUGUUCAAUACAAAUAUUAUGAAUCAAGGGGCGGGAUUAAGUUGAGGCAUGUCACUAAGGGAAAUUGUUUCCCUCUCUAGCUUAAAAGGCUAGUGCUGUAAGUUAGCUUCUUAGUGAUGAAGAGAUUAUUGUUUUAGAUCAUGCUUCAAAGUGUUUUAAUGGUGUUGAUUCCACAACGAUGGGUAUGAAGCUGUGAUUUGAUCCACAAAUCUCUGAGCAUUGGCCGUAAAAUAGACCAGGGUGGGAUGUAAUUAAAGUGGUUUUGUCAGGGGUUCAGGAGCAGAGGCACAGGAAAGGGAGGAAAUAGAGAGCGAGGGGGAGGAGUCCGAAGGAAAUGUUAGCGAUGACAGCGGUCCGAGGUCUCUGAGUCUUUCCAGCGAAUCGGAAGAUUCACAGAAAGGGGCUCCCUUGGUCAGAGCAAGGGGUGUGCCGAGGGGGACACCCCAGGAAGAAGGGGCCAGAGGGGACUCAGAGAGCAGCAGUUGGAAAUCAGGACCAGCGUCCACACCAGAGUGCAGUAGGGGGGAGGAGUCCCAGGCAUCGGGAUCAGGCGGCGCACUGCCAGUGGGAGGACAUGAGUCAGGAUUGGCCACGCCUCCAUCGGGGAGCGAGGAAACGGUCGAGAGGAAGGUUGAAGGCUGGGCGCGCGCGCCAAGUUCAAAUGUACAGGAGGGCGGCGCAGUUGGCAGCCCGGAUAGGGAGCCAGGUCCCAAAGCCCGCCGAAAAGAGGGGAAGGAGUCAGGGGGGUCAGCGUCAGAAGAAUCCAGGAAGGAAGGGACCCGGGGGUAGCAGGACCCAGAGGAGAAAGGAGAGACGUAAGAGGUGGAGUAAGGCUAGAAUCUUAAACUGGUGUACAGGGGCGGAGACUCAGAUGGAGCUUCGCCGAUCUAACCCCUAGACGUAGAGCUGGGGCGCUCCGGCUUGAAAAUGGAAACUGUACUUCAAUAAAGACUUUUGCACAUUACUGCCGGCUAGCGUUGGUCCUCUGUGAGCUGGGACCUGGAGCCAGCUCUGACAGUAAGCUCCAUCUCUUAAAGUUUUGCACCAAAAACCUCGUAACGUGAGUGGACGCAGCGAGGGAAGAAGAUUGGUGCUUUGCGAGCUCACAAAAGUCAGGCAAGAUGACUACAGAACAGCAACUAGCAGCCCUGCAAAAUGCAGUGACACAACUCAACGCGGAGGUACUCGCAUCCAGGAAAAGGGAAGAGGAAGCGGCUGCCGCCUGCAGGGAUCUCCAAGCCAGGUUGGAAGUGCUUGCUAAGCAGGGGCAACCGGGACCCAAAUCAGAGGGGAUUGGGCUGGGGAAAAGAGGAGGCAGCCUGGUAUCUCAUUUCGAUGGGAAUUUGCAGCAGUACCCUAACUUCCGAGCAGACGUGCUGUUUGCGCUGGAACUGCUGGAUAAAGACUUUAGAGAUGAGCAAGAGAAGGUGGGGUUUAUCUUGUCCCAUUUGCAUGGGGAAGCUAAAGCGUGGCUGCGCAAUCUGUGGAGAGAUAAGGAUCCGGCGCUCCAAAAUGCGGAUGCAUUCAUUAAAGCGAUGGAUUCGUGUUUUUAUCAAAUAUAGACAUUGAUAUCGCCAGAAAAGACAUACAUGGGCUCAAACAAGGCAGAGCCAGUGUAAGGCAGUACCAUUCCCGCUUUUUUUGCAUUAGUCCAUGCGCUGGGAUGGGAGAAGGAUUCUGCCCCAGUCAGAGACCUUUUUUGGGAAGGCUUGAAUGCAAAUGUGAAAGAUGAGAUUGCAAGGGGGGAGAGACCAAAGAGCACUCAGGAGGUUGUCCGGCGGGCGCUGCAAAUUGGGGUGCGUCUGGAAGAACGUCCAUGGAACAGAGAAGAAGGACGUUGGGGACGUACGCCAGUGAGAGCACCUCCCCUCUUUCCCAAGGAUACAGCGCGUGUGCAAUCCCCACCUCCGCAAGGAGGGGGAGAGCAACCGAUGGAGAUUGGAGGCGCCAGGGCUCAGUCAACAACCAGAGCCUUAACACCGGGAGCAGUCAAAGCGAAGCCUCCUAGAGGGAACAGGAAGUGCUACAUCUGCGACAGUGCUCAGCACAUGGCGAAAGAGUGUCCCCAGAGGCUCCACAAGCACACUGCAGCCUCAGCAACAGUAACAGAAGCAACUCAGCAGAGAGAAACACAGCAGGGAAACGACAGAGUCUGGUUGGAGGAAGAGGCACUGGGGCCCAACCAGACAAGUCAAUGAAGCCGUCCCCAGAGAUUUUGCAGCCCACAGACCCCCUCCCGCCCAAACCAGUGGUGCAGCUCACAGCAUCGCUCCAACUACCCAAUGGACUCACUAUGGAAGUGCCGAUUACCAUUGACUCUGGUAGUAACGCAGACUUCAUAGGACUGGAUUUCCUUCAAGAGCACAACAUAGCACUCCUGCCAGCCACGCUGCCUCUGAAAGUUGUCACGGUGGAUGGCAGGGAAUUGCUGGGGGCAGGUGGUGCAGCAAACGCCUCCGAUGGUGAUGCAAAUUGGGAAUCACCGAGAAGUCAUCAGCUUCAAUGUCACCCAACUGUCGGACACGCCUAUAGUAUUAGGCAUGAGUUGGCUGCACAGGCACAGCCCAGCAUUGGCGUGGUACCAGCGACAACUGACCUUCGGCUCCUCAUACUGUGCGGAACAUUGCAUUCUGCCUAGCCCGGAAGGGGAAGAGGAUGACCCGCAGCUACAAUUAGGCACGCUGCAAGCAGUGCCACUCAAGUACGCAGCGUUUUGGAGGUUUUCUGCGAGAAGGAAGCGGACAAGCUACCUCCCCACAGGUCUUAUGACUGCAAGAUUGACCUCCUGCCAGGGCGACGCUGCCAUGCGGGAAACUGUAUUCCAUGUCCGAAGACGAGCUGCAGGAACUCAGGGAGUUCAUAGACCUCAACUUGAAGCGCGGUUUCAUCCGGGAGUCGAAGGCAGUGGGGGCAGUCCUGUAUUCUUUGUGAAGAAGAAGGACACGCCCCAAAAAAGGCUUGUGGUGGACUAUAGAAUUUUGAACUCAAAAACCAAGCCCACAGCCUUUCCCAUGCCCAAGAUAGAUGACCUGCUCGCAACGGUGAGGAAAGGACGCGUUUUCACAAAGUUGGAUCUGCGAGGGGCGUACAACCUGAUUCGCAUACGGGAGGGCGACGAAUGGAAGACUGCCAUGUUCACGCCCCUGGGCACCUAUGAAUACAGAGUUAUGCCCUUUGGAUUACAAAAUGGCUCCCACUGUUUUCAAGCCUUCAUGCAUCACGUAUUGGCGGGUCUCCUCUACACGAAAUGCGUCUGCUUCCUGGACGACAUCCUGAUAUUUUCAGAAUCAGAGGAGGCCCACGAGGGAGACGUCAAGGAAGUUCUGCAGAGACUGCAGGAGCACAGGCUGUACGCCAAGCUGGAAAAGUGCCAGUUCGACAUGAAGGAAGUAGAUUUCCUGGGCUACAAGUUGUCGGACAAGGGGCUCGCCAUGGACAGCGCCAAGGUUCGCUCAGUGUUGGACUGGAAGAGCCCGCGCAAUCGGAAGGAGGUCCAACGGUUUGUCGGUUUCGCCAACUUUUACCGCAAGUUCAUCAAGGGGUUCGCGAUGCAGACGGCAGCCAUUACCGACACACUCAGCUCCAAGAAGAAGAAGUUCAUCUGGACGGAGCAAGCGGAACAGUCCUUUCAGAAACUCAAGCGUCUCUUCUCGUCCGAAGAGCAGCUACUGCAUGUGAAUCCCAGCAGACCGAUGAGGGUUGAAACGGACGCCUCAGACAGAGCAGUGGGAGCAGUACUGUUGCAGCAAGACCCGCAUGGGGACUGGAGACCGUGUGCCUUCUACUCCAGGAAGCUCAGCAAGUCAGAGCAGAACUACACCAUCUGGGACAGGGAGUUGCUGGCCAUUCAUGCAGCAUUCAAGGCGUGGCGGCACUUCCUCAUUGGAGCCAAACACACAGUGCAGGUCCGCACGGACCAUAAAAACCUGGAGUACUGGCGCACGGCAAGGUUCCUGAACCAGAGGCACAUACGAUGGGCGGAGUUCUUUGCGGAUUUCGACUUCAGGAUAGAGUACAUCUGUCAGAGCUGGCUCCAGGUCCCAGCUCACAGAGGACCAACGCUAGCCGGCAGUAAUGUACAAAAGUCUUUAUUGAAGUACAGUUUCCAUUUUCAAGCCGGAGCGCCCCAGCUCUACGUCUAGGGGUUAGAUCGGCGAAGCUCCAUCUGAGUCUCCGCCCCCUGUACACCAGUUUAAGAUUCUAGCCUUACUCCACCUCUUACGUCUCUCCUUUCUCCUCUGGGUCCUGCUACCCCCCCGGGGUCCCUUCCUUCCUGGAUUCUUCUGACGCUGACCCCCCUGACUCCUCCCCCUCUUUUCGGCGGGCUUUGGGACCUGGCUCCCUAUCCGGGCUGCCAACUGCGCCGCCCUCCUGUACAUUUGGACUUGGCGCGCGCGCCCAGCCUUCAACCUUCCUCUCGACCGUUUCCUCGCUCCCCGAUGGAGGCGUGGCCAAUCCUGACUCAUGUCCUCCCACUGGCAGUGCGCCGCCUGAUCCCGAUGCCUGGGACUCCUCCCCCUACUGCACUCUGGUGUGGACGCUGGUCCUGAUUUCCAACUGCUGCUCUCUGAGUCCCCUCUGGCCCCUUCUUCCUGGGGUGUCCCCCUCGGCACCCCCUUGCUCUGACCAAGGGAGCCCCUUUCUGUGAAUCUUCCGAUUCGCUGGAAAGACUCAGAGACCUCGGACCGCUGUCAUCGCUAACAUUUCCUUCGGACUCCUCCCCCUCGCUCUCUAUUUCCUCCCUUUCCUGUGCCUCUGCUCCUGAACCCCUGACAUCAUCCCAGGCGACAACAACAUCAUGGCGGAUGCACUGUCCAGAAAGCCGCAAUACCUCGAGGAGGCGGCACCAGCAGCGGCCAAGCACAUUUUCGCACCGAAAGCGUGGGCGUGCGCUUCAGCAACCGUGGACCUGGAUGCUGUACGUCGAGCACUGCAGGAGGACCCCUUCGCGCAAGCAAAGAUGGCAGAGGUGCAAAGGGGCACGGCGGAGGACGACGAGUUCCAGAUACGCGACGGAUUGCUCAUCCGCAGAGGGGCCCUCUACGUACCGGGAGACGACCUCCGCGCGAAAGUACUGCAGCAGUUGCACGACGCACCCACCGCCGGGCACUUUGGCAAAGAGAAGACGGUAGAAUUAGUAGCCAGAGAUUUUUGGUGGCCCAAGAUGCGGGGGAAGUCGCGGAUUACGUCUCGAGGUGCGACACCUGCCAAAGGGCCAAGUCAGUGCACAAACCGCCGGCGGGACUGCUCGAACCGCUGCAGACACCGAUCGAACCGUGGGAGAGGGUGGCCCUGGACUUUGUCACGGAUCUACCCAGCUCGAGGGGCAAGACGGCAGUGCUAGUGGUGGUGGACAUGUUCACCAAAAUGGCCCACUUCAUUCCGUGCGCGAAGGUGGCCACGGCGGAACAGACCGCCAAACUGUUCAUAGACCACGUGUUCAGGGUUCACGGUCUGCCACGGUCUAUCCUGUCCGACCGGGGCGACAGUUCAUCUCGAACUUCUGGCAGAAGCUGAUGGGUUUCCUGAACGUCAAGAUCAACCUAGCGUCGGCGAGACACCCGCAGACGAACGGACAAGCGGAGCGAGUCAACGCCAUCAUGCAGCAGUACCUGCGAUGCUACGCAAAUCAGCAGCCGGCAACAUGGGUGGACUACCUGCCGCUCGCUGAGUUCGCCUACAACAACACGAAGCACGUGUCCACGGGGUGACACCGUUCUUCGCCAACAACGGGAGGCAUCCCAGAACCUUCCCGGGAUUAGCGAGAGAGGGGGAGGGGGGCCACAGGCAGCGGAAGCCUUAGCAUCAGAGUUGCAGGAGGUUCACGAACAGCUUCGGAGGCAGUUAGAACUAGCAAAGCACGCAUACAAACUGCAGGCUGACAAGCACAGAAGGGUUGGGGAAGACAUACAGGUGGGAGACUGGGUUUGGUUAGCAGCCCAGGCAGUGCCGGCCAGAUCGUUAGCGAAGAAGAAGCUAGGGCAUAAGCAGCUAGGACCCUACCAAGUCGAGGCACAGGUCAAUCCAGUGGCCUUCCGGUUGACACUGCCGGAGGGAUCCAGAAUGCACCCAGUUUUCCAUAGAUCAGUGCUCACGCCCUACAAAGCACCUCAUAGAUUUCAGGAGCCAGGAACGGCACCAGACCCGUUCAGGGAAACGCCCACAAGGGGGGGGUCGCCAAGGCGGGAACCCGUCAACGAAGUCACAGAGAUUUUAGACUCGAGAUGGGGGGAGGAGGGAGUGGAAUACCUCCUCGCCAAGGAAGGUACCCCGGCUAGCGCCAACAGUUGGGUGCCAGAUUAUGCUCUGGAGGAAUCUUGGCUUAAGGACGAGUUCCAUGCCCUUUUCCCACACAGGCCCAUGCCAGCCGAGUAUUUCGACGACUGGCUUUUCACACCCACAUUUUCAGCUAGCACAUUCCAGGGGUUCACCUCGGACGAGGAACCGGCACUAGAAACACGUUCCCCGGAGGGAUCACCCUCGGGGUCUGCCUCAGACCGUUCCUAUUGGUGGGACAAUCAACCAGAGGAGCAGUGGCGCAGGAAGUGGUUGGGGGGUCCUUGGCAGGCAACGUCCCCGGAGGAGACCCGGGGAGAGACGGACAUGGACGUGUUGGGGGAGGACCUUGGGUUCGAGCACGGCGGCAAAGAGAUGGAAGCAGAGGAAAUUGAGGUCGGCGAGAGCACGGAGGACGAGCCGGACUUAUCCGGCUGGAUGCACGCCACGGGGGACGAACUGUAUCCGGCACUCACCCCCACAACGACGGAGCACCCAGUACCCACACCUGAAGGAGGGGAGGGGGAAGGGGGGCUUCGAGGGGGAUGGAUGUCAGGGGUUCAGGAGCAGAGGCACAGGAAAGGGAGGAAAUAGAGAGCGAGGGGGAGGAGUCCGAAGGAAAUGUUAGCGAUGACAGCGGUCCGAGGUCUCUGAGUCUUUCCAGCGAAUCGGAAGAUUCACAGAAAGGGGCUCCCUUGGUCAGAGCAAGCGGGGUGCCGAGGGGGACACCCCAGGAAGAAGGGGCCAGAGGGGACUCAGAGAGCAGCAGUUGGAAAUCAGGACCAGCGUCCACACCAGAGUGCAGUAGGGGGGGAGGAGUCCCAGGCAUCGGGAUCAGGCGGCGCACUGCCAGUGGGAGGACAUGAGUCAGGAUUGGCCACGCCUCCAUCGGGGAGCGAGGAAACGGUCGAGAGGAAGGUUGAAGGCUGGGCGCGCGCGCCAAGUUCAAAUGUACAGGAGGGCGGCGCAGUUGGCAGCCCGGAUAGGGAGCCAGGUCCCAAAGCCCGCCGAAAAGAGGGGGAGGAGUCAGGAGGGUCAGCGUCAGAAGAAUCCAGGAAGGAAGGGACCCCGGGGGGGUAGCAGGACCCAGAGGAGAAAGGAGAGACGUAAGAGGUGGAGUAAGGCUAGAAUCUUAAACUGGUGUACAGGGGGCGGAGACUCAGAUGGAGCUUCGCCGAUCUAACCCCUAGACGUAGAGCUGGGGCGCUCCGGCUUGAAAAUGGAAACUGUACUUCAAUAAAGACUUUUGCACAUUACUGCCGGCUAGCGUUGGUCCUCUGUGAGCUGGGACCUGGAGCCAGCUCUGACAGGUUUGGUUUAAUCGACCUGGGACUGCAUCUGUUUUAAUGCCAAGUGCUGGGACAGCUCAUGAGUGUAGAACGUCUUCUGCUGAAAUUAAGAUUCGAAUUGGGGAUUCUAUUGGAAUUACAACUCGGUGGUCUACUUCUAAUAGGCGAAAACUUCCGGGCCUUAGGUCGCAUGUUGGGAUUAUAUAAGAGUCGAAUAGCAGGUUUUCGUAGUCAGUAUGUUCAUAGCUUCAAUAUCAUUGGUGGCCAAUAGCUUUAAUAGUUAGAUGG
Molecule: non-coding RNA, 9115 nt
Organism: Podarcis lilfordi (Lilford's wall lizard)
Lineage: Eukaryota; Metazoa; Chordata; Lepidosauria; Squamata; Lacertidae
Source: the annotation of a GenBank genome assembly